This is a long non-coding RNA of Gallus gallus (chicken), 4087 nucleotides long. The record is from Ensembl. Lineage: Eukaryota; Metazoa; Chordata; Aves; Galliformes; Phasianidae.
CUCUUUCAUUUAUUUAUUUCUUUAUAAUUUUCUGAAGGAAAAGCAUUGUUGGUACAAAGUCUGGGCACUGGGCAGUGGGGCGAAUAGACUGAAUACAGAAAGCACCGAAUUCUGAUCUUGGCCACCUCUUUUAUUGAUGUUCAGGUGGAAAUAAUCAUUCUAUGAUUCUAAUUUAUUAUUUUUCCUGAGUUUAUGAGUCCCUCAGUUAUGAGUAACUCAGAGGGACAGAGUAAAACAUACUGAAGUUCCUCAAGAAGGACCGUUUAUGUCCCUCUGGUUCAACACUCGCUUGGAGGGUGGGGAAGUCCCAGCAUGCUGAAGCUUAAAAUAACAGCACGGUGAUGGAUGAGAAGACCAUUGCAGGUGCAUUUUAGAGAUUUUUGAAAUGUCUGAACGGUAACUCUUCUCUCCUUACAGGUCCUGGGCAGCCAGAUUCACCUGGCUUUUUAUGCAAAGGGAUAAAAGAAGCAAUACAUAUAAAUGAAUCAUUAAGGUUGGAAAAAAACACGAAGGUCAUCAAGUCAACCCAUCCUCACCGUGCCCACUAACCAUGUCUCUUAGCCACCUAAGGGCCACCUGUCCUGCACCAGCACAACGUGGGUAGGAUGAGCCCUGGAGAAACUUCCUGUUGCUUGGCACCAGCUCUGAAAUCUUCCCAUCGAUGAAGCCAUACAAUGAGCCACGCUUAAUGAAUCAGAAUGUUAAUCAUCACUCACAUCAAUUCAGCAGCCCUGCCUGGAUGAUAGCUGCCCCCCUCUACUACUCUGAAUUCCUCCCCCUCGUCAUCAUCACAUCUUCUGGCUCUCUCCUUCAUUAGUUUUUAUCUGAUGAUUGAAUACCACUGUUAGCCAAAAAUUAUCAGUGCUAGCAUGCAUGCACAGCACACUGCAAGGGAGCAUUGUAAAACACAAGGCAAUUCAUGCUACAAAGCUGUCACAAACUGAAGAAAUAUCUCCCUUGUUUUCUCUGAGGCUGAAUGAAUGAAGCCUCAGCCCUGCUGCUGUACAACACUAAGCUCCUGUGGAAAGAAAAGCAUAACAUCCAGGCACAAUGGAAGAAAAAGCAGAUUCUUCAUGAUUAACAUAGGCAAUUUAACUGGAAGAAUUAUAAAAUAUCCCAAGUUGGAAGAGACCGAAAGGAUUUCAAAUCCAGCUCCUGGCUCCACACAGGACACCCAAAAAUCAGACCAUCUGUCUGGGAAGAGGAACAUCAGCUCAUGGAACUGACAUUUUGGAGAAUGGUUUCUUCUCGCUGCGUUUUUAGAUGAGUUGCAGUCAGUUUGUGCUGUAUAAGCCAUAUUAGGAGUAGGUUCCCACAGUGAAGCCAUGUCCAGCCCUGCCAGGCAGAAGGGGAAGAUGCUUUCAGCUUCUUUGCCUUCUCUUCAUGACAUCCCACCCUGAAUGCAUCUUUAGGCAUCUCUAAUGAGAUCUAGAAUGAGUCAUUAAUUUCUAAUUAAUUAACCUUUGUCAUGGCCUGCAGCAUUCUUAAUGUUGUUUUGUAAGAGUAUCCACUGUCACUCCGUGAUGGGCAUCUCCAUCAAGCCAGAAAAUCCCCUAUGGAAAUACCCUAAGGAUGAACAGAGCCCCAUACCCAAAAUCUGUGCUCAAAAGUAGAUUGCUCUGAGCCUUGUUUUGCACACAAAAAUGGUAGGGGUGGUAUUUUAACGUGUUUUCUUCUCAUGAGUUGAUGUUCCCAACAAGCAUGGUUGGUUGCUCUGGAUGUGUGCCCCAAGGCAACUCAGCCUGCCCAUCACUUCUCACUGUUUCUAACAGUUUGAAUUUGGAGCACCUGGCAUCAGUCACCGCAGGUAGAAGUGUUUGACACUGGAGCCUCCGGGUGGGCUCAGACAUGGUUAUUAGGAAAGAUUACAGAAAUGAUGACGCCAUUUAUUUACUGUUGGUGAAUGGCGUUGGCCAAGCUGGAGCACUGAUCUGUCUGUCACCUUACGUGCUGGGUUCCUGCUGAGCACUGGUGGGGUGCAGAACUGGGAUUCCAAUGGACUUUUGGAGAAGGAUUGGGCUUCUCGGGCUGCCCAUGGAGCUGCUGCACCCAUUGCAUUGCUUUGGCUGCUCAGCCCAGAUGCUAAGCAGAAAGGAAUAUGUUCAGUGUCCCAGGCACUGACAGCUCGACAUAUACACAGCAUAGAUAGCUUGCAAACUAGAUAAAGGAGUGACAACAUCUUCUUGAGAGAAAACACAGGGUUUCCCCCUCUGCGAUGCUUCAUCUCUGCUGUCUUCUGAUUUUGAUCUCCCAGGGCACACCACUCACAGCUGCCUUCCCGCUGUCCUGGGGCUUGCAGAGCCUUUUGGAGCAGUGUGGAGCCGCCCUCCUGCACACUAUUUGCUUAUCAUGGUUCCUGAUGGACAGUGUGCUUUGUGGGGUGGGGGAGGACUUUGGUUCCCUGCUGUCAUUGCUGGAGUUGUUGGUUAGCUGUGCCCCAGGCCACCCCUUGCCCCUUUCUCUAAGCAGCUUUUUACGCUGCGCAGCUCAAAGAGGUUGUAAAAUGCCUUUUCUCUGGCUUAGAGAGAGGGAGAGAAGAAAAUGCUUCUGGAUCUAAACCAACUAUUCAAACUCUUGCUUUCUGGCAUCCAAAGAAGUCCCAAGGGUUUGUUUUGCAAAGGAGAAAGUGCUGGAGAUUGAAAAGAGGUUACCUGUAAACUGUAGAGGUUAAAUACAGAGAAAGGUGCACACAGGGUUUAGGGCACCUUAAGAAUAAUGUUAAUUAUUUAAGACUGAGAGCACUGAAGGAUACGUCAGACAAGAGUUGGGAUGGAUUUGCACUGCCGCUGUGCUGCCAUUGAUUCCCACUCCCGGCCCAUUCGUGCUGCCAUGAGGCAGUCAGGGCAGCUUGGAAACCUCUGGUCUUCUUCAGAAUGUUUUUCAGUGGCCACAAACUGGGGACUGUGCAGCCCCUCAGGGACAACCCUGCCUGUGCCCAGCUGCUGAAUGCACGAAGAGAUUGGUGGAUGGGCACCAAAUCCUGCACCAAUGGCCAAGCCCAACCAAUGCAGUUUGAAGGUCACAUGUGGGCAUCCUCAGUCCUAAAACAGCUGUUUGGGGUUGAUGCUCGCAAGGCUUAGCAUUUCCAAAAGUGCCGAUGUGAUGCUCUGUCUCAGUGUGCCAUUAGCCCAUCAAGCAGUGUGCCACCUUCCUGACGAGGCACCAAACAGAGAGCAGGAAAGUUACUUGGAAAAUGCAUCACCAAUCUCCCCAUGAAGCCACAACCACGUACCCACUGUGAGGCUGUUGGCUUCCCGCAGUCUUCCCAUGGAAAAUGUCCUCACCUCCUGCUGCAGUUGGGCGGCAUCUCCAGAGGUUCACGGCGGGAGCUGCUUGUGUUUGGCUGGAGCACUGGGAAGGAUUUUGAUUCCAGGUUUUGCUCUGAUUUGCACCAGUGGCCACGUCCUAGCAGAGCGGCACUGCCACGGGCAAACAGAGCCCACAGCAGGGAGAAGAUCAUUGAGAAAGGAACGGGCUCUGCUGUAGGCAGCUCUAGGUUAAUAAGUGAGCUAUUCAUCUGAUAGGGACACGGGAGAAGUUUGCAGGUAUUCAGCCCCGCUACAGUUCAGCAAUACCGCUUUGCUUUAUCUCUCACCCAAGUAACACAAACAUUUAUGGAAUUACGUUUUAAGGCUUUUAAAGGUGUAUUUAGAACGUGUUUUCUUUGAAGCGUUAUCUUUGCAAGCUCUCAUGCGCUGAUAAAGGCCGUGUUUGGCUGCCUCUUGAGGAGCACUCGUGAGCUGUUGGCUCGGGGAGGUUUCUCCUCAGGGGCUGCAGGACAGCAGCGGUGGCAAUGCGGUGGGUGACAGCCUCGGGGACAGAGCAGAGAACAGAUGGGAAAUAAAGCCUUUGGUCUCAGCAUGAAAGUUGCCAUCAUCUCCUCCCUGGGAGAAGGGAAGGAGCGCGGCGAAGCGAAUGACCUCACUGCAGGAUGGUUCCACUUAGCAUCCCCGGCCCUCCUCCCGGCCCUGCCCAGCGAUGAAGACGUCGUCCCACAGCUCAUCACUCACAGCAGCGCAUACCCGCGCCUCGUCCCGCAGUCGGGGAUUUGACCCGGAGCUCCUCGAAAUCAAUGGAAAGGCUCCAG